RNAcentral lists this long non-coding RNA (3064 nucleotides) under Macaca fascicularis (crab-eating macaque). RNAcentral describes it as "lncRNA (ENSMFAG00000054100.1)". Lineage: Eukaryota; Metazoa; Chordata; Mammalia; Primates; Cercopithecidae. The record is from RNAcentral.
GGGAGCCUUUCGUUUCUCUGCAAGUUUGGAUCUGGGAGCUCUUGCUGUGCAAAUUUUGCCCAGAGAAUCUGUAGUAUUCAUUCUCCUGCUGGUCUCAGGGCAAGUCCAGUUUUUGAGCGAGACCUUCUGGAGCUACUGCAAAUGGCCUUUCUGAUCCCACAGUGGGGAGAAACUGAGGUAACUGAAGUCUUGAGGAGGGUUCUUUCACUAGUGUGAGCAUAGCUGACUUUGGAAUUCUUUUGUUGUGAUCUGUGGAUCAAUUCUGUUCCCGAGCUCUCCUGGAUUUUGUUAUAACAACAGAGUCCACUUAGAUUUUAACCAUUUGAUCAGCAGAGCCUUGUUUUUGGCCUGUUGUGCUGCAUGAUUUAGAGUGUGCAUCUGGAUUUGUAAUUAUGCCUCACAUAGUUUAUAUUUUGAUUAGCUUUUCCUUUCUCCUCUUUACUUGCCUCUAGGACCAUAUGGGUGGAAGUUUGCAUGUUGUUGUAAAAGCAUUUUGAAAUGUUCACCAGACUUUCGUGGUUUCCUUACUUCCCUUUUAGGUUUUGCAUUUUAAAUUAGGUUAUAGAAUUGUGAAUUUACCAAACUAUAUUGUGGAUUUUAUCCAAACAGUUUCUGUGGGUAUGAAAUACUGGUCAUGUGUAUGUAUCAAUAUUUUAUAUGGAAUCAUUAUACUUCUUGGGGUUAGGCUGACAAAAAACAAUUUGUUAGCUUCAUUCAUGAGAGGUAUUCAGAUUUGAAAUUUUUGACUUUGGAAUUAAUCAGUUUUCCUCAACUUAUAUUUUAAUGUUCUGUGAUAUAUGUGAUCUACAGAUGACUUUGGGGGUAGGAGUGGGGCUAAGAAAAAAAGAAAUAGAUGAUAAAAAAUAUGACUUUGAAUAAUUUUAAAUAAUUUUAAAUAUUUUUUUCUUGAUUAAUUUUGGACAUAUGAAUUAGAAUUCAUUUGGAAUACAUAUUGAAUAUAAUCAUAGUUAUAUAACAAAUUCUCUAAUGGUGGAAAGUAAGUUUUAGAUUUUUUUUGGUAACUCUUUUCACAAAUGUUAGAUUAUUUUUCCCCUCUGGUUUUGAAAUGAAUAGUUUUGGGUCUUUGAGAAUGGUCAUACCAUAAAAUUGUGUCUGUGUUCCACAAAAGUUAGUAAUUGGAAAAGGAAUGAACAUUUAGUUAAAAUAUCACUAGCUUAAACUAUCAAUGGGAGUCUGUAACUCUAAGUUUACUUAGUUUUCCUUAGAAAAUUUUAUGAAAUACUCCCUUGAAAUCAAAUCAUAUUAUAGCAAGUUGCUUCAAGUUAGUAUAUGUGAACUGCUAGGCUAAGACAUAGUCAUGACUGAUUGUUGAGUCUAGUUUUCAUUUUUACUGAGGUAUGGAUAAGACUUAGACAUGCCCUCUUCUUUGACAAGUUUUUCCUUGUUGCAACAGAUCCUAUAACUUGCCUGUUGGUUGCUGAUGCAGCUUUUCAGAAAUAGGCUGUGCAGUGUGGCCCCAGGCAAAGCUUUGUCUUUCUCCCCAGAACCUAGCAAAAUGACUGCCAGAAUGAUCACUAUAAAGCAUUUUACCAGGUUAUUUUGAAGGGAUGCAGGAGCAGAAAAGAGUGUAUUUCAGGAAGUUCAGCAGGGCAGAAAAGGCCUGUGGAAAACAAAGAAGUGUAAGGAUUUCUUUUAUUUUAGGGUAUGUGUAGGGUAAGGAAAUGAAUUUAGCUACAUUGUGCUGAGAUUUUAUUGAUUUAAAUACAGUAGUCUUAAAAUCAUCUUGGGAGUUGGUGUGUUAACUCAAUCCAUUGAUCCAAACAGAAUGCAGGCAAGGCAGGCUGAACUUCUGUUUCUCCCGGCAGUGCUUUUUCUGCUACUUAAUUUGAUAUUCUCCAUACUGAGAGAAUGAUGUUUUUAUUCUUUGAAGGAAAAUCCUCCUCUUUUGAGUUUAGCAAUUCUAUUAACUAGAGCAGAUUGUUGUUAUUUAUUUUUAUUUUUUUAUUUUUAUUUUUUGAGGCGGAGUCUCGCUCUGUCGCCUAGGCUGGAGUGCAGUGGCGGGAUCUCAGCUCACUGCAAGCUCCACCUCCCAGGAGAAUUGCUUGAACCCAUGAGGUGGAGGUUGCAGUGAGCCGAUACCGAGCCAUUGCACUCCAGCCUGGCGCAGUGAGACUUCUGCCUCAAAAAAUAGUAAUAAUGUGUAGAUGAUAUUUUAGUAACUGAUGAUAGAGUUAGUGAAGAUGAAAGCAUAGACCUUUGAAAUUCUGUCUGCAUCAUGAUUCUAAUCUUAUAAAGUAAGGUCUGGAGUUUUUAAAGUUUUAGUGAAAAAAGACUGGGUACUUCAGGCCUGGAUGUAAAGCUAGGUGCCAUAACUUACUAGCACAAUGGCUUUGGGGCAAGCUAUCUAACUUUUCUCAGCCUCUGUUUUCUAAAUGCAAUCCUUUGGGGUGUUUUUUUUGAAGGAAAACAAUAUAUGUGAAAGACUUUGGCACAGGGCCUGGCAGAUAUGAGCCUUGUCAACAACAACUUUAUAAAUUUUGUGGUUUGUUCAACCUUAUCCAACUAAAAAACUUGUUAAGCCAUUGUGCUGUUAAGAACAGACACUAAGACAUUAAUGUGGAAAAAGACUAUAGUACCAUGCACGUUUUUAUUCAAGCACUGCUUUGAUUCAAAAUGAUUAUCUACUCUUCCUCCAUCUUCUCUUCCUUAUAGUUUACUGGGAAAAAAAUCAGAUAAUUUAGCUAAAAAUAAGCAAGCAAAAAGCAACAUGUAAAAAUGGGUACAUCUUCCUUAUCUAGAAAUAAAUGCUGCCGGGCAUGGUGGCUCACGCCUGUAAUCCCAGCACUUCAGGAGGCUGAGGCAGGCAGAUCACGAGGUCAGGAGAUGGAGACCAUCUUGGCCAACAUGGUGAAACCCCAUCUCUACUAAAAAUACAAAAAUUAGCUAGAUGUGGUGGCACGUGCCUGUAAUCCCAGCUACUCAGGAGGCUGAGGCAGGAGAAUCGCUUGAACCCGGGAGGUGGAGAUUGCAGUGAGCCGAGAUUGCGCCACUGCACUCUAGUCUGGCGACAGAGGAGACUCGCCUCAAAAAAAAAAAAAAAAAA